Molecule: long non-coding RNA, 412 nt
Organism: Phycodurus eques (leafy seadragon)
Lineage: Eukaryota; Metazoa; Chordata; Actinopteri; Syngnathiformes; Syngnathidae
Exons: 3
Source: RefSeq, a predicted model, not a curated record
UUUGUUCGUUCGUUGGUGGCGACGAUGGAUGAAGAUGAAGCUGCUGCUGCCGCUGCUAACGAGCUAGCGAGCUAGCUUGGAGACCAGCGACGCUACGCGCAAGAGUCACUCUGAUUGGCCACGCGCUCAACCAAUCGGUGACACGGAAUAGCCUAACGGGCGAAGACUGACGAGAAAAGCUCCAAAGGGAACCCUCGUCACACAAAAUGGCGGCAGGACAGAAGACUCCGCCUCCUCUGUCGUCAACAAGAUGUCGGAAUGUUCCCGUGCACUCCGUUCUGAUUUAAAGACGAGCAAGCAGCUUUUGUGGUGAAAAGGGAAAUGAAGGCAGGAAGGCGAACCACCCUCGUCCCUCCGCUCCGGAACCGUCGGCGCUCGUGAUGGAAUCUUCCUGACCAUCGGACCAGUCAAU